AGCUUUUCGAAUCCGUGCAGAUUUCGUCGGACACCAAACCAUUACGGCUGAUCAGACUUCCAAGAUAAGCGAAGUU
Molecule: microRNA precursor, 76 nt
Filed under: Schistosoma margrebowiei
Lineage: Eukaryota; Metazoa; Platyhelminthes; Trematoda; Strigeidida; Schistosomatidae
Description: mir-3492 microRNA precursor family
Rfam family: mir-3492 microRNA precursor family
Source: Rfam by way of RNAcentral